RNAcentral lists this ribosomal RNA (894 nucleotides) under Ceramothyrium melastoma. RNAcentral describes it as "eukaryotic LSU rRNA". It matches the Rfam family "Eukaryotic large subunit ribosomal RNA", at positions 50 to 962 of the family's 3401-position model. Lineage: Eukaryota; Fungi; Ascomycota; Eurotiomycetes; Chaetothyriales; Chaetothyriaceae. The record is from RNAcentral.
GCGGAGGAAAAGAAACCAACAGGGAUUGCCUCAGUAACGGCGAGUGAAGCGGCAACAGCUCAAAUUUGAAAUCUGGCCUUACGGUCCGAGUUGUAAUUUGUAGAGGAUGUUUCGGGUACCGCUGUGGUCUAAAUUUCUUGGAACAGGAUGUCAGAGAGGGUGAGAAUCCCGUCUGCGACCGCGGUAGGGCCUAUGUGAAACUCCUUCGACGAGUCGAGUUGUUUGGGAAUGCAGCUCAAAAUGGGUGGUAAAUUUCAUCUAAAGCUAAAUAUUGGCCAGAGACCGAUAGCGCACAAGUAGAGUGAUCGAAAGAUGAAAAGCACUUUGAAAAGAGAGUUAAACAGUAUGUGAAAUUGUUGAAAGGGAAGCGCUGGCAACCAGACUCGAGUGCAGGGGUUCCCCUGGGCUUCUGCCCAGGUUACUCCCCUGUAACCGGGCCAUCAUCAGUUUUGGGGGUGGGUUAAAGGCGGUCGGAAUGUACCCUCUCCUUCGGGGGAGGACUUAUAGCCGGUCGUGUCAUGCCACCUCCCGGGACUGAGGAACGCGCUUCGGCGAGGAUGAUGGCGUAAUGGUUGUCAGCGACCCGUCUUGAAACACGGACCAAGGAGUCUAACAUCUAUGCGAGUGUUCGGGUGUCAAACCCUUGCGCGUAAUGAAAGUGAACGGAGGUAGGAAGGCUUGAGCCUGCACUAUCGACCGAUCCUGAUGUCUUCGGAUGGAUUUGAGUAAGAGCAUAGCUGUUGGGACCCGAAAGAUGGUGAACUAUGCGUGAAUAGGGUGAAGCCAGAGGAAACUCUGGUGGAGGCUCGCAGCGGUUCUGACGUGCAAAUCGAUCGUCAAAUUUGCGUAUAGGGGCGAAAGACUAAUCGAACCAUCUGGUAGCUGGUUUCCGCC